GCAUAUCAAUAAGCGGAGGAAAAGAAACCAACAGGGAUUGCCCUAGUAACGGCGAGUGAAGCGGCAACAGCUCAAAUUUGAAAUCUGGCUUUCGGGCCCGAGUUGUAAUUUGUAGAGGAUGAUUUUGAUGCGGUGCCUUCCGAGUUCCCUGGAACGGGACGCCAUAGAGGGUGAGAGCCCCGUCUGGUUGGAUGCCAAAUCUCUGUAAAUCUCCUUCGACGAGUCGAGUAGUUUGGGAAUGCUGCUCUAAAUGGGAGGUAUAUGUCUUCUAAAGCUAAAUACCGGCCAGAGACCGAUAGCGCACAAGUAGAGUGAUCGAAAGAUGAAAAGCACUUUGAAAAGAGAGUUAAAAAGUACGUGAAAUUGUUGAAAGGGAAGCGUUUAUGACCAGACUUGGGCUUGGUUAAUCAUCUGGGGUUCUCUCCAGUGCACUUUUCCAGUCCAGGCCAGCAUCAGUUUUCGCCGGGGGAUAAAGGCUUCGGGAAUGUGGCUCCCCUCGGGGAGUGUUAUAGCCCGUUGUGUAAUACCCUGGCGGGGACUGAGGUUCGCGCUUCUGCAAGGAUGCUGGCGUAAUGGUCAUCAACGACCCGUCUUGAAACACGGACCAAGGAGUCGUCUUCGUAUGCGAGUGUUCGGGUGUCAAACCCCUACGCGUAAUGAAAGUGAACGCAGGUGAGAGCUUCGGCGCAUCAUCGACCGAUCCUGAUGUUCUCGGAUGGAUUUGAGUAAGAGCAUACGGGGCCGGACCCGAAAGAAGGUGAACUAUGCCUGUGUAGGGUGAAGCCAGAGGAAACUCUGGUGGAGGCUCGCAGCGGUUCUGACGUGCAAAUCGAUCGUCAAACAUGGGCAUGGGGGCGAAAGACUAAUCGAACCUUCUAGUAGCUGGUUUCCGCCGA
This 896-nucleotide ribosomal RNA is filed under the name Fusarium graminearum. RNAcentral's name for it is "LSU rRNA". It matches the Rfam family "Eukaryotic large subunit ribosomal RNA", at positions 38 to 964 of the family's 3401-position model. Lineage: Eukaryota; Fungi; Ascomycota; Sordariomycetes; Hypocreales; Nectriaceae. The record is from RNAcentral.